ACGGAAGGCAGCAGUGGGGAAUAUUGGGCAAUGGGCGAAAGCCUGACCCAGCAACGCCGCGUGAAGGAAGAAGGUCUUCGGAUUGUAAACUUCUUUUAUGAGGGACGAAGGACGUGACGGUACCUCAUGAAUAAGCCACGGCUAACUACGUGCCAGCAGCCGCGGUAAUACGUUGGUGGCAAGCGUUAUCCGGAUUUACUGGGUGUAAAGGGCGCGUAGGCGGGGAUGCAAGUCAGAUGUGAAAUCUAUGGGCUUAACUCAUAAACUGCAUUUGAAACUGUGUCUCUUGAGUGUCGGAGAGGUAGAUGGAAUUCCUUGUGUAGCGGUGAAAUGCGUAGAUAUAAGGAGGAACACCAGUGGCGAAGGCGGCUUACUGGACGAUAACUGACGUUGAGGCUCGAAAGCGUGGGGAGCAAACAGGAUUAGAUACCCUGGUA
The sequence is a ribosomal RNA, 437 nucleotides long. It matches the Rfam family "Bacterial small subunit ribosomal RNA", at positions 341 to 792 of the family's 1533-position model.